UCUCAUGGAUAAAGGAGACACAGUGGAUACAUAUUGACUCUAGUAAGGCUUUUGACAGGGUCCCACUUAACAUGCUCUAAAGUAAACUAAAGAAACAGAUACCUACACAGAGUCAUGAUACGGUGAACACACACUCACAUGGUUUGAUGUUAAACUGGAAAAGCAUUAAAAACAGGGCUCUGCAGAAAUCAUGUUUCUACUCAGGACUUUCAUUAACAACUUGAAUCAUGAAACAGACAUUUUCAAAGAACAUUGAGGCUAGGAGGGAUUACAAGCUCUUUGAGAUACAGGAUCAAAAUUCAGAAUCAUACUGAGAAACAGGACUACAGGCCCAAAAACGAACCAAGAAAACAUAGGUACUCAAAUACAAACACUUAGCCUUAGGAAAGGGAAAUUAAAAAAUAAAUUCUAAACUAGGGAAUGAAGAGAUGUGAUUGCUCUAAUGGAGGCAUGAUGAAUGAAAUUGUCAUAAUAUGAUGCUGUUACAAAACUAAGCAAAUCACAUGCGGUGCAGGGCUGACAGAAGUGUUGUAGGUAACAUAUGCAAGGUAAUUAUCCUUCCCUGCUCAGCCCUGGGAUGCCAACAUUGGCACUGAACGUUUUUGGGCACUGCACUUCCUGAAGCAUUGCCAAACUGGGAGGAAUCCAGAGGAGGGAAAUCAAAAAGAUAGGAGAUAAAGAAAACAGCCAGAAAACAAAAGUCCAUGGCUUCUGAGAAGAGAUUGAAGGAAAUGGCUUGCUUUGGUACAGAAAGAGACUAGAGGUACUCAAGAAUGCUGUGUGAUGUAUGCCUGAGGAUGAAAUAGAGCUGGACCCUGAGGCACAGUGACCUGCAAGUCUUAAAUGUGUCUGGUCAAUUUUUAAGAGAGGCAGAAGCAGCCAUAAGACAAUGAGGUAGCCUCUGCUACAGCUAGUUAAGCUCGCAUUUUCUUGAAGAUGAGUGGAGAUGUAAUCAACAGCCAGCAGCACGUUGUCCAGAGAACAUGAUCUGCUUAUCCUCUUCGUAUCAAAUAUCUACCCUAAGAAUGCUGAAACAGUGUUUUAGAAAUUCAUCUCUGACAUUCAGAUUUCUGUGGCCAAAAUGGACCUCUGUGCAUCAGUCAGGAGUAAUGCAACGCAAAGAGCAUCACACAGCAAUUUCUGCAGCUAGUGAAGAACUGGAUUAUAGCAUGUUUCAAAAAGAUAUCCUGGCUUGUUUUUCUCUCCAUUACAGAUUCUGUUCUAUUGCCUCAGUCCUUAUCUGUAGGUAUUUUGGCUUUUAGUAGUGCUUCAGUAUACCAAUAGAAAUAUCUUUCAUUGAAAUAUGUAUAUAUUGCUCCUCUUCUAAGUAAAAGAUAUAUUAAUUUUAUG
Strigops habroptila (Kakapo) is the source of this 1350-nucleotide long non-coding RNA. RefSeq lists it as uncharacterized. Lineage: Eukaryota; Metazoa; Chordata; Aves; Psittaciformes; Psittacidae. The transcript has 4 exons. The record is from RefSeq and is a predicted model, not a curated record.